This is a non-coding RNA of Paramuricea clavata, 549 nucleotides long. Lineage: Eukaryota; Metazoa; Cnidaria; Anthozoa; Malacalcyonacea; Plexauridae. The record is from the annotation of a GenBank genome assembly.
GCUUGAAAUUACUUUUGAAUACGCUCUAGAAUCAAUUAAAAUUUUACGUUUUUCGUUAUAAAGGUAAAAAAUAAGGUUUUAAACGAGCUUUGCGAUCUAUCCCAACGCUGACCAGCCCCUUUGUCAGAAAAAACAGUGAUCUUUCACAAGCUACCAUGGACGAACGGAACGGAAUGUUUUCAUUUUCCAUCACGUACUAAGGAAUAUGACAAGAAAAAAUGGUCUUUCAAAAAAAUUGGAUUUCCAUUAGUGGUUAAGCGGCCAAAGCAGUUUAUUUACAAACUAGUCGUUCCAGCUCUAGGUUGAAAUCGAACCUGGAGCUGCGAAACCUGAGGCUGACUGGCUCGUCAUUCGAGCGCAGCAAACAAUAAGCUACUAAUUACACUGGCCUGUAGGCCAAGUGUCUUAAAUCCCUCUUUUUCUGUUUUUUCAUGGCGUUUUUUCGUAGUCGAGAAAUCGAGUUUGCGUUAGCUCAUCGCAGGCGUUGCUGAUCAUGAUUGUAUUUAUUGGUUGUAUUUAUAUGGUCCAGACCUCCUGCAUCCCUAUCUA